Molecule: ribosomal RNA, 255 nt
Filed under: uncultured bacterium
Lineage: Bacteria
Description: partial 16S ribosomal RNA
Rfam family: Bacterial small subunit ribosomal RNA
Source: RNAcentral
UACGUAGGGUGCAAGCGUUAAUCGGAAUUACUGGGCGUAAAGCGUGCGCAGGCGGUUUUGUAAGUCUGUCGUGAAAUCCCCGGGCUCAACCUGGGAAUUGCGAUGGAGACUGCAAGGCUAGAAUCUGGCAGAGGGGGGUAGAAUUCCACGUGUAGCAGUGAAAUGCGUAGAUAUCAUUUGGGAACGCCAAUGGUGAAAACAGGUAGCUGGGGGCUGUGCUGACACUGAGACACGAAAGCCAGGGGAGCAAACGGG